CGAGAGCUCUCCAGCCUUUGGCGGCCCUUGAGAAGGAGGGCUGUUUCUGUCUUUGGUUAUCUAGCUGUAUGAGUGUUAUUAAGCCAUCAUAAAGCUAGAUAACCGAAAGUAGAAAUGACUUCCAACCCUUCCUGGAGCUGGGAAGCCAAUGGACAAGGAGGGACGUGGAGCCAGACACACCAUGGACCUUGGAGCAGAGCAAGGUUAACCUCAGAUCAUCUCCGACCUUCUGCCAAGGAUUCGCCGGAGUCCUUCCAGACCCAGACGUGACGGAAAGUUCAUGGAGAGGGAUGCAAUGGGAAGAGACAGGACAUCUCUGGGUGAGCAAGGAGAGAGCUUGUGCGACGUUCUGCAGCAAAGAUAAGAAACAUCCCAUUUGGCACAAGCAGCACAGAAGAGAAAGGUGGAAAGUCGCUCCUCCCCGGUUAACCUCCCCUUCCCAGUCCCCUCUGGUAUUCUUCCCUCUCCCCGAUACCAUCAACUCAGCGUGGGGCCCUCGACAAGCAAGAGCUGGAGGAGGAGGACAAAAAAAGAGGCAGCGAGAAGGAGAAGGGCAGCCCCUGUGAAGACAUACUCUGCCACACCGGGCCAUUUUUGCUGCAGUUUGUAGGCUGCUAGGUGCCCGGAAGCCAUUUUGAUGGAAUCAAGUACUAUUUGUAAGAUGGCCGCAUUGGCACGAGAUUCCUGUGGCUGGCGAAUGGCAGGCGGCUGGACGCCUUUGGGUUCUUCGUUAACCUUCACCACAGAUGAAAACUCGCCGGGGACUUUUCGCGUCACAUACAGCUAUUCAUCGACCCGCGUACCGGCCAGCUAUUCGCAACUGGCCCAGCGAAGAGGCUGCUUUGGCCGCUGGACCUCGAGGGCUUUCAGGGUUGCAGCUGAAGAGGGUGAGGUGUGUGGAGCAGGCGAAAACUUUGAUGUGCUGUACCUGGUACAAUGAAUGCAUCACUGGUGAAUAUUUUGUGGUCACCUUUGCUGCUCGGUGACCCCUGGAUAUCACAGACCUCUUCGCUCUCCUGUUCAAACUGCCUUGCCUAUCCAGGGAGAGCCCGGGAAGCAAAUGCCUGGACUGGGGGAAAAACAGAUCUAUUGCAUGUCUGACUGUAGGCGUGUGAAGUCCUGAGAAAGCACCCCUGGACUCAGUGUGGAAAAGUUUGGGCUGAUUGAUUUUGCUUUGUUGCACUGAGAACGGCACCUUAUUGUUAGUUAAUGCCCAAGACAACUGUUUUUGAAACUUUCUGUGUGUCUGUAGUGGCAAGAUUCCCUGUCAUUACAGAAUAAAUUGGACAUGUAGGGCUGUAUUUUCACUGUGGCCUGGGGAUGCGUGCUCCCCCCAGAUUAUUUUAUCCUUCUUUUUGUUUGUUUUUGAAUAGAUACUGAUUCUUCAACGCAGACUUAUUCUUACGGUGCAAACAUGCCCAACUGUGGCUGUACAGAUCCCUGUUGACGUGUUUCAGAUGUCUUUAUUCUUGUAAAAGACACAUCCGCUCCCCCCCCCCACUUGUUUAAACAAAGAUGGUUAAAAUAAACAAUUCACUUGU
This is a long non-coding RNA of Dermochelys coriacea (leatherback sea turtle), 1541 nucleotides long. RefSeq lists it as uncharacterized. NCBI's taxonomy places the organism in Eukaryota, Metazoa, Chordata, Testudines, Dermochelyidae. The transcript has 4 exons. The record is from RefSeq and is a predicted model, not a curated record.